AAGGGCACCACAAGAACGCGUGGAGCAUGUGGCUUAAUUUGACUCAACGCGGGAAAUCUUACCGGGUCCGGACACACUGAGGAUUGACAGACAAAUACACACACUUUUACGGUGUGUGCAUGAAAUAUGCUAGUUCUUUCAUGAUUAUGUGAUAGGUGGUGCAUGGCCGUUCUUAGUUCGUGGAGUGAUCUGUCUGCUUAAUUGCGUUUCACUAAAGGCACAUACACAUAAUAUUGAUGCGUUGUGUGUAUAAUUUAUAAUUAUACGCAUACACACAUAUUAUAUUGUGCUUUGAAAGCAACGAACGUGACCGCAACCUUUUGUUGCCUGUAUAUAUAUGUAUUUUAUACACACCACAGGCUAUUAUAAACUAGAGGGACCGCUGUUACUUUCUUUUAAACCAGAGGAAGGUUGCGGCAAUAACAGGUCUGUGAUGCCCUUAGAUGUUCCGGGCUGCACACGUGCUACAAUGAUCAUUGCAGUGCGCAUCUCAUUUUGUUAUACACUGCUUGUGCGUAUGUGCAUCACAUAUAUAUUUUAUAUUUGUGUGUGUAUGUAUUGCACGCAGUAAAGCCUACUUCGAAAGUUGUGGGUAAUCAAUUUGAAGUAAUGAUUUCUCCAAAUAUAUACUGCACACUCAUAUACUGUAUCUUAUGUCCACGAAUUUGUAAUUCAUUACACUUUUGUGUGUGCAUUCGACGCUCGUAUGUGCAAUUGUCAAUUCAUGGUGGGGACAGACCAUUGUUAAUUGUUGGUCUCGGUCUUAACUAGGAAUGCCUUGUACGGGUCUUUGGUUCAACAAACCACCCGGAAUACGUCCCUGCCCUUUGUACACACCGCCCGUCGCUCUUACCGAUGGACUUCUCUGUGAGUUUGAGGGACUGGAUUUUAUAUCUAUGGAAACUCAAACGAACAGUGUGGUCUAAAGGAAAGAGAAGUCGUAACAAGGCAUCCGUAGGUGAACCU
RNAcentral lists this ribosomal RNA (966 nucleotides) under Haynesina sp. S16. RNAcentral describes it as "SSU rRNA". It matches the Rfam family "Eukaryotic small subunit ribosomal RNA", at positions 1160 to 1816 of the family's 1831-position model. Lineage: Eukaryota; Foraminifera; Rotaliida; Nonionidae. The record is from RNAcentral.